Molecule: non-coding RNA, 28 nt
Filed under: Rattus norvegicus (Norway rat)
Lineage: Eukaryota; Metazoa; Chordata; Mammalia; Rodentia; Muridae
Source: RNAcentral
UAUCAGAUUCUUUGAUAGGAGAGGCAGG